AGUUCAAUUUGGAAACAUGGGGAGCAAGGAACCUCCCCUGCCAUCCUGCUUUUGUAAAGCUGUAGAGGAAAAAGACAGUGACUGGGACAAAUGCUCUCCGGCUGCAAGCAAGCCAUCCCUCCAGCUCCUCAGUUGCUUUUAAACUUGAAUGAGAUACAUGAAAGAUAGAGAUGCAAUAAACAUGGGUCGUCAGCAUGAGCAGAGAACAGGAUUCUUUAUCUCAGGGCUUCUGAAACUGCUCCCAUUUGUUACUUCUUCCCACCUGAGAAAUGUUUAUGCCACCAAAUGUUCAUAGGCAUGUAAAACAAGCAUACAAAAUAAACAUUUGCUGGUAAUAAUUAUAAAGAUAUUUACUGUAAAGCAGUUCUGUAGUAUACAUAUAAUGUUACCAUUUAUUAAAGAUGAAAGCAAAUUUGCAUACUAAGAUGAAUAAGUAUUUAUUUUUAUAUAAAUAAGCCUUGGCUGAUUUAAAAAAUAUUAAUGUGUUUGUAUGUUGUACAUGUGUGAUAAAUAUGAUCAACUCAUAAACUGUGAGAAAAUUCUGUCUUAAUGUUGAGACAGGGUCUCUAAGGAUCCCUGGCUGUCCUAUGCAGACCAGGUUGGCAUCAAACUCACAACCUGCCUCUGCCUCCUGAGUGCUAAGAUUAAAGGUUUGCACCAGGCUAUUAACAUUUUUUAACAAUGUAACUCAAAACAGAAACUUAAGCAGAAAUUUCUAGAGUAAGAUAUUUUAGGGGCUAGGGAUGUAGCUUAGUUGGAAGAAUGCAUGCAAACCCCUGAGUUUGAUCCUCAGCACCUCCUAAAGUGGAAAAUAAUGGUGUAUGCCUGUAAUUCUAGUACUCAGAAGUCAGGGGCAGGUGGAUAAGAAGUUCAAUAUUAUCAUCAUCUCUGUAGCAAAUUCAAGGCCAGCCUCUGUUAUGUGAGACCUUCCCCCCACCUCAAAAUAAAUAAAACAUUUUAAUGCAACAAAUUUG
This 974-nucleotide long non-coding RNA is filed under the name Mus pahari (shrew mouse). Its description in RNAcentral is "predicted gene 14902 (MGP_PahariEiJ_G0006496.1)". Lineage: Eukaryota; Metazoa; Chordata; Mammalia; Rodentia; Muridae. The record is from RNAcentral.